Molecule: ribosomal RNA, 488 nt
Filed under: uncultured bacterium
Lineage: Bacteria
Description: bacterial SSU rRNA
Rfam family: Bacterial small subunit ribosomal RNA
Source: RNAcentral
GGCUCAGGAUGAACGCUGGCGGCGUGCUUAACACAUGCAAGUCGAACGAAGCAUUUAAGACAGAUUACUUCGGUUUGAAGUCUUUUAUGACUGAGUGGCGGACGGGUGAGUAACGCGUGGGUAACCUGCCUCAUACAGGGGGAUAGCAGCUGGAAACGGCUGGUAAUACCGCAUAAGCGCACGGUAUCGCAUGAUACAGUGUGAAAAACUCCGGUGGUAUGAGAUGGACCCGCGUCUGAUUAGCUGGUUGGUGAGGUAACGGCCCACCAAGGCGACGAUCAGUAGCCGACCUGAGAGGGUGAACGGCCACAUUGGGACUGAGACACGGCCCAAACUCCUACGGGAGGCAGCAGUGGGGAAUAUUGCACAAUGGGGGAAACCCUGAUGCAGCGACGCCGCGUGAGUGAUGAAGUAUUUCGGUAUGUAAAACUCUAUCAGCAGGGAAGAUAAUGACGGUACCUGACUAAGAAGCACCGGCUAAAUACGUG